RNAcentral lists this ribosomal RNA (496 nucleotides) under uncultured bacterium. RNAcentral describes it as "partial 16S ribosomal RNA". It matches the Rfam family "Bacterial small subunit ribosomal RNA", at positions 28 to 506 of the family's 1533-position model. The record is from RNAcentral.
GAUGAACGCUGGCGGCGUGCCUAAUACAUGCAAGUCGAGCGAACAGACGAGGAGCUUGCUCCUCUAACGUUAGCGGCGGACGGGUGAGUAACACGUGGAUAACCUACCUAUAAGACUGGGAUAACUUCGGGAAACCGGAGCUAAUACCGGAGAAUAUAUUGAACCGCAUGGUUCAAUAGUGAAAGACGGCUUUGCUGUCUCUUAUAGAUGGACCCGCGCCGCAUUAGCUAGUUGGUAAGGUAACGGCUUACCAAGGCAACGAUGCGUAGCCGACCUGAUGGGGUGACCGGCACACCUGGAACUGGGCCACGGUCAGACCUCCUAGGGAGGGCAGCGUGGGGAAUACUUGCGAAAUGGGCGAAGGCCUAACGAGGCAACGCCGCGUGGGUGAUGAGGGUCUUCGGAUCGUAAAACCCUGUUAUGGGGGAAGAACAAAUGUGUAUGUAACUAUGCAGGUCUUGACGGUACCUAAUAAGAAGGCCACGGCUAACUACGU